Molecule: small RNA, 258 nt
Filed under: Pan troglodytes (chimpanzee)
Lineage: Eukaryota; Metazoa; Chordata; Mammalia; Primates; Hominidae
Description: processed transcript
Source: RNAcentral
CCGCCCCCCUCCCGUUCCAGCACUAUCGGUCCGAAGUGUUUGGGACUGCAGUGCCCGGGUAGGGGUAGUCAGAGGCCGCCCCUCCACUCCGAGGCCCAGAUGUCGGGGGGGAGGUCCCAGGAGUGACGGGGUGCGCCCCCCCCAAGGAAACUCACCUUCCAAAGCUGCGGCCAACGAAGCCCAGCAGAGCAGCACCCGGAGCUCCAUGGCGCCGCCUCACUCGGGACCCUGCUGCAGGAAGACUAUGGGUUCUUCCGC